AUCAAUUAGCCAUUUAGAAAAGAAAAGAAAAAAAAAGGAAACGAGGCUGCUGUUUGCUUCCAGUGAAGGAUCAUCGAAGGAAAAAAAAUUCAAAACUCCAAUUCCUAAUUAAAGAGAGAAGUAAAAGAGGAAGAUUGAUCGAAGGAAGUCCUGUGGAUUGCUUGAGGUGACAAGCUUGGUAUUCGACACGAGUAUUAGAGGACAGGUGACAUUGGCGAGGAAUUUGUUAACUAAAGCUAGCAAGUUGGCAAAUUCAUGGUAAGCCCGCACUUGUUCGCGCGGCAUCAAGUUAUUCAUUGUUAUGGACCUUUCUUGAACUCAUAGAGUUGCUCUAUAGUCAUUCUUUUAUUUGAGUCAUACGUAUUCUUUCAUUAUUAUAGACGUGUGACUAGUUUUAAGCUUUUCUUCCAUUUUUGGAGAUAAAUUAGUAUUAUUGUGUGACGAAUAGAUUGAUAAUAGAUAUUAUGUCUUG
Solanum dulcamara is the source of this 472-nucleotide long non-coding RNA. RefSeq lists it as uncharacterized. NCBI's taxonomy places the organism in Eukaryota, Viridiplantae, Streptophyta, Magnoliopsida, Solanales, Solanaceae. The record is from RefSeq and is a predicted model, not a curated record. The transcript is spliced from 3 exons.